AAAAAAUCAAAUUUUAAAGUUGUAAAAAACUUCACUGGCGGGCACUGUGAUGUCAUAUUACAAUAUUUCGUUUAUGGGAAAAACCUGGCCUAUCGUUUAUUGGUACACUUUUUGACAGAUAAGCAAGUAAAACGUUUUUUAAGGUAUUAACAAUACUUUAAAUGGCUUCAGCAACUUAUUGGAAGUUACUUCCUAGAAAAUAGUGUUUAACCACACAAAACAGCCUACAGAAACUAGUUUUUGUGACUUUCAAGGAUUCAGAUAUUAAAUUCUAUUCGUUUUUUUCCAUAUUCCAUAGACAAAAUAAGAAAAUAUAUAUAACGGUAAUUAAAGUUACCAUAUGGGAGUUAACUAUAAGUCGAGUAAUCAUGCCUGAUUGGUGCUGUGUUAAAAAUAGCAAGACAAGAAUGACUGUAAAGCCAUACAUAUAUAUAUAAUUUUUUUUAUUUCCAGGGAAGAGUAAAGCUUAAAAAGAAGCAAGCUACAUUACAUCGGUCAUUUCAUGAUUGCGGUGCACAUUUUACUUCAGACGUUUUUACUAUUACAUGUUCGAUGUUCACAACAGGAUAUGUAAGGAAACUUGUCGGAUCAAGUAGGCGAAGCAGAAUUUAUUUGGAGACUGCAGAAGAACACAGAAGAAACAAUUCUUCUGUCAUUCCCGUACCGAUCGAACAAAGUUCUCAUCAACUGUGCAGCGAUACUGUCUAAGCAAACUAAACGCCAUAAAAAUGUGAUUGAUCAUCUUUUUUGGUACAAAGACCAACAAUAAACACUAUCUUAGCGUAAAUUGA
Molecule: non-coding RNA, 791 nt
Organism: Ciona intestinalis (vase tunicate)
Lineage: Eukaryota; Metazoa; Chordata; Ascidiacea; Phlebobranchia; Cionidae
Source: RefSeq, a predicted model, not a curated record